AUUGAACGCUGGCGGCAGGCUUAACACAUGCAAGUCGAGCGGAGUGAUGGUGCUUGCACUAUCACUUAGCGGCGGACGGGUGAGUAAUGCUUAGGAAUCUGCCUAUUAGUGGGGGACAACAUCUCGAAAGGGAUGCUAAUACCGCAUACGUCCUACGGGAGAAAGCAGGGGAUCACUUGUGACCUUGCGCUGAUAGAUGAGCCUAAGUCGGAUUAGCUAGUUGGUGGGGUAAAGGCCUACCAAGGCGGCGAUCUGUAGCGGGUCUGAGAGGAUGAUCCGCCACACUGGGACUGAGACACGGCCCAGACUCCUACGGGAGGCAGCAGUGGGGAAUAUUGGACAAUGGGGGGAACCCUGAUCCAGCCAUGCCGCGUGUGUGAAGAAGGCCUUAUGGUUGUAAAGCACUUUAAGCGAGGAGGAGGCUCUUUUGGUUAAUACCCAAGAUGAGUGGACGUUACUCGCAGAAUAAGCACCGGCUAACUCUGUGCCAGCCGCCGCCGUAA
Molecule: ribosomal RNA, 503 nt
Filed under: uncultured bacterium
Lineage: Bacteria
Description: partial 16S ribosomal RNA
Rfam family: Bacterial small subunit ribosomal RNA
Source: RNAcentral